Sclerotinia borealis F-4128 is the source of this 73-nucleotide non-coding RNA. NCBI's taxonomy places the organism in Eukaryota, Fungi, Ascomycota, Leotiomycetes, Helotiales, Sclerotiniaceae. The record is from the annotation of a GenBank genome assembly.
GGAUCCGUGGUGUAGUGGUUAUCACACUUGCUUUACACGCAAUAGGUCCCCGGUUCGAACCCGGGCGGAUUCA